This 492-nucleotide ribosomal RNA is filed under the name uncultured bacterium. RNAcentral describes it as "partial 16S ribosomal RNA". It matches the Rfam family "Bacterial small subunit ribosomal RNA", at positions 29 to 507 of the family's 1533-position model. The record is from RNAcentral.
AGUGAACGCUGGCGGUAGGCCUAACACAUGCAAGUCGAACGGCAGCACAGUAAGAGCUCGCUCUUACGGGUGGCGAGUGGCGGACGGGUGAGGAGUACAUCGCAAUCUACUUUUUCGUGGGGGAUAACGUAGGGAAACUGACGCUAAUACCGCAUACGACCUACGGGUGAAAGCAGGGGAUCUUCGGACCUUGCGCGAUUGAAUGAGACGAUGUCGGAUUAGCUAGUUGGCGGGGUAAAGGCCCACCAAGGCGACGAUCCGUAGCUGGUCUGAGAGGAUGAUCAGCCACACUGGAACUGAGACACGGUCCAGACUCCUACGGGAGGCAGCAGUGGGGAAUCUUGGACAAUGGGCGCAAGCCUGAUCCAGCCAUACCGCGUGGGUGAAGAAGGCCUUCGGGUUGUAAAGCCCUUUUGUUGGGAAAGAAAAGCAGCAGGUUAAUACCCCGCUGUUCUGACGGUACCCAAAGAAUAAGCACCGGCUAACUUCGUG